CCUACGGUGGGCAGCAGUGGGGAAUAUUGCACAAUGGGGGGAACCUUGAUGCAGCAACGCCGCGUGGGUGAAGAAGUACUCCGGUAUGUAAAGCCCUGUCAGCAGGGAAGAAAAUGACGGUACCUGACCAAGAAGCCCCGGCUAACUACGUGCCAGCAGCCGCGGUAAUACGUAGGGGGCAAGCGUUAUCCGGAUUUACUGGGUGUAAAGGGGGCGCAGACGGCGAUGCAAGCCAGGAGUGAAAGCCCGGGGCCCAACCCCGGGACUGCUCUUGGAACUGCGUGGCUAGAGUGCAGGAGGGGCAGGCGGAAUUCCUGGUGUAGCGGUGAAAUGCGUAGAUAUCAGGAGGAACACCGGUGGCGAAGGCGGCCUGCUGGACUGCAACUGACGUUGAGGCCCGAAAGCGUGGGGAGCAAACAGGAUUAGAUACCCCUGUAGUC
Molecule: ribosomal RNA, 440 nt
Filed under: uncultured bacterium
Lineage: Bacteria
Description: partial 16S ribosomal RNA
Rfam family: Bacterial small subunit ribosomal RNA
Source: RNAcentral